AUUGAACGCUGGCGGCGUGCCUUACACAUGCAAGUCGAACGGCAGCAUGAUCUAGCUUGCUAGAUUGAUGGCGAGUGGCGAACGGGUGAGUAAUACAUCGGAACGUGCCCUGUAGUGGGGGAUAACUAGUCGAAAGAUUAGCUAAUACCGCAUACGACCUGAGGGUGAAAGUGGGGGACCGCAAGGCCUCAUGCUAUAGGAGCGGCCGAUGUCUGAUUAGCUAGUUGGUGAGGUAAAGGCUCACCAAGGCGACGAUCAGUAGCUGGUCUGAGAGGACGAUCAGCCACACUGGGACUGAGACACGGCCCAGACUCCUACGGGAGGCAGCAGUGGGGAAUUUUGGACAAUGGGCGAAAGCCUGAUCCAGCAAUGCCGCGUGUGUGAAGAAGGCCUUCGGGUUGUAAAGCACUUUUGUCCGGAAAGAAAUGGCUCUGGUUAAUACCUGGGGUCGAUGACGGUACCGGAAGAAUAAGGACCGGCUAACUACGUG
This 490-nucleotide ribosomal RNA is filed under the name uncultured bacterium. RNAcentral's name for it is "partial 16S ribosomal RNA". It matches the Rfam family "Bacterial small subunit ribosomal RNA", at positions 30 to 507 of the family's 1533-position model. The record is from RNAcentral.